ACGUCUAAAUAAGAACUUAUCGAAUGUGUAUUUUAAAAUAUAUAAUUUUGAUUUGAAUUAAGUAAAAUAUUAAAAAUUAAUUUAUAUUAAUUCUUUAAUUUAUAACUUUGAUCUAUAAAUAUAUAUAAAUAUUGAAUAGUGUUCGUAUAUUUUUUUCUUGAAAAAGGAAGGUUAUAUAAAAUUAAAGGUUAUAAUAACAGAUUAUAUUUUAAAAACUUAUUCGUAUAUAUAUAUAUACUUUGAUUGGAAAAUAUAUAUUUUGAUUGGAAAAUAGAAUUAAUUGUUGUCCAUAUUCUAAAGUGAGUUACAUCAGGAGAUAUAAUUAUAAUAUAUAUAAAUCAAUUUUUAAAAUUAAAACCAAUUUAUGUUAAAAUAUUUUAUCCUCAAUUUACUUUAAUAAUAAAAAUGGCUAAAGCGAAAAAGAAAUUAUUAUCAGAAAUUUCCCAACAAAAACGCGAUCGGCGAAACGAAAAAUCUUUAAAUCCAUUUGAAGUGCAUAUAAAUAAGAUUAAACAAAAUGUAUUGGGUAAAAAAGAUAAAACAGAUAAAGGGCUUCCGGGUGUAUCACGUGCAAAAGCAAUUAAAAAACGGAAAGAAACACUUCUUCAAGAAUAUAAAUUAAAAAAUAAAAAUAAUUUGUUUUUAGACAAACGUAUAGGUGAAAAGAAUUUAUUUAUGAAUGAAGAAGAAAAAGCCUUGGCUAGAUUUACAGCGGAACAUAUGAAAGCUCAUAAAAAACAGAGUAUUUAUAAUUUAAAUGAUGAAGAAAUAUUAACCCAUAAAGGUCAAACUUUAGAAGAAAUUGAAAAAUUUGAUGAUCCAAGAAGUGAUGAUGAAUAUAGCGAUGAUGAAAAUGGAACUGGUAAAUUAAAUAAUAAGUUUGUUGGUGAAGCUCACUUUGGUGGUGGAAUUUUAUCAAAAUCAGAAUCUGGAAAAUCUAGGAAAGACAUUAUAGAUGAACUUAUAGCGGAAUCAAAAAAACGUAAAGCUGAGAAACAAAAGAUUCGUGAACAAACCAUAGAUUUAACGGAAAAACUUGACUCUGAAUGGAGAGAUCUUCUUCCGAUAAUGUCGGCGACUAAUAAAGAUAUUGAGGAAGAAGCUAUAAAGACGAAGAUUGAUGAUUAUGAUAUUGCUGUGCGUGAAUUGAAGUUUGAGGCUAAAGGUAUGCCAUCGGAUAAAUUAAAAUCUGAAGAAGAUAUGAUAAAAGAAGAAAAAGAAAAAUUAGAAGCUUUAGAAGCGGAUCGAUUGGCAAGAAUGAAAGGACUUAUAAAUAAUACAAAUAAUGAAAUUAAGCACAAAUCUGCGGAUGAUCUUGAUGAUGGUUUUAUGUUAGAAAGUAUAAAUGAUGAAGCUUCAGAUAAUGAAAAAAAUUCAAUUAAAAGUACACAACAAUUUCUAAAUAAUGAAGAUACUAGUGAUACUGAAAAUGAUAAUAAUAAUGAUGAUAAUGAUAAUUUUAAUGAAGACAAUUUAAUUAUUAAUAAUGAUGAAAAAAAUAUAUAUACCGAUACAAAUGAAGAAUUGAAUAUUAUUAAAAUGAGUGGCGAUAUAAAGGAAAGAAAAAGAAUAAAAAAUUUUUCUGAAAACAAAUUAAAUAAAAAUUUUAAUGAAGAAGUUUCAGAAAAUUCUGAAGAAGAUAAUUUGUCGGAUUUGAAAGAAUCGGAAUACUCCAGUGAAGAUGAAAAAAAUGAUAAAAAUGAUAAAAAGUCAAAGACUAAUUUAAAUGUUCUUGAAUUAAAUAGCAACAUCAAAGUACAAGAAAUUAGAGGUGAUCUUUUAAAAAGAAAAGAAAUUAUGGAAAAUGCAAGGAAAGAAUUACCUUAUGUUUAUAAAUCACCAGAAAAUUUUGAAGAAUUACAAGAAUUUUUACAAAAUCGUAAUGCCGAUUAUCAGUCAAUUAUCAUAGAUCGUAUAAUAAAAUGCAAUCAUUGGUCGUUGAAUAAUAUAAAUAAAGAAAAAUUAUCAAAUUUAUUUUUGUUUAUACUACAGCAUUUAAAUAAUCAUGCUAUGGAAGAUGAUGUUGAAAGUGUGGUCAAAUGUUGUCAAAUUGUUGACAGAUUGUCUCCCUUCUUGUAUGAUCUUGCGCAUUUAAAUCCAGAAAAUACUAAAUUUGUUGUACAAGCGAUAAUUAAGGAAAAGCAUAAGGAAUUUGAAAAAAAUAAAAAAAAAUAUCCUUAUCUAGACACUCUUAUUUUCUUUAAAUUGGUUUCCUUAAUAUUUCCAACAUCUGAUUUUAGACAUCCUAUUACUACUCCCUGUUUAAUAUUUAUGUCUCAAAUAUUAUUUAGAUGUCAAGUUAAAAAUAAAGUAGAUAUUUCAAAAGGUCUUUUAAUAUGUACUCUUAUAUUAGAGUAUACUGUAUUGAGCGAACGAUUUGCGCCAUCUGUGAUAAAUUUUCUACGUGGUAUAAUUUAUAUAUCUACGCCUAAACAUUUAAUUCAAGAAAUAAAAAUGAUACCACCUUUUAAAAAAACAGGAGAAUUAAGUAAUUUAUUAAUACUUGAUGAAGAUCAAACUAAUUUAAAUAUUGAUUCAAUUAAUAUGCUUAUGAAAGCAUCUGAUUUGGUAGAUGGACCAUUGGAUGAUAAUUUUAAAAUAAGAGCUUUAUUGACGACUAUAAAUCUAUUAUGUGAAUUUAAAAAUCAUUUUGAAAAAUUUGAAACUGUGUAUUCAAUAUUUGAACCAAUUUUAAAAUUACUCGAAGCAAAUUCUUUUAAUAAGUAUCCAUUUAAAGUCAAAAAACGUGUUGAACGAUUACGAAAAGAGUUAAAAGAAUUGAAGAAUAAAAAAUUAGAAUAUCUUGUUGUUGAAAAAAAGAAACCAAAACCAUUAAGAUUGUACGAACCGCGAAUCGAAACGAUAUAUGAUAGUAAAAAACAUAAGAGUAUAUCUAAAGAGAAAGCCGAAAAAGAAAAAUUAUUGCACAAAUAUAAAAAAGAAAUGAAAGGUGCUAUCCGUGAAAUACGAAGGGAUCGAAUGUUCUUAGCAAAAUUGCAAAUAAAGCAACAGAUUAAAAAUGAUGAAGAACGUAAACGUAAAGUAAAAGAAAUCUUUGGCGAAGCUGCGAUGCAACAAAGUGAAUUAAAAAAAUUGAAACGAAAAAAAUAAUAUUGUACUUUAGGAUGUGUAUUAAUUUUUUUUGUUAUAUUUUUAUUUAAAUGAUUUCACGGAAUGUAAAGUUAAAUAUUGUUCACAAUGACGUUUCGUUCAAUAUAUUUUUCAUAGUGAUAUUGCGCAAUGUGCAUUGUAUCGUUAGAAAUAUAAAUUAUCGCGCGACAGGAUAUGGCAACAGAAUCGCAAUUGUGUUAUAAAAUUUUGCAUGGAUAAAAUACUAUUGCUUUAAAAUGAUUAAAAGAAAUAAUCAAUUUUUUCUGGAAAGUUAUCGAAUAAAUCGCAAACAUUUGAAAUUAUAUCUUUUUUCAUCAUAUAUUCUGGUAUAACUAAACGAGUUUUAAAAUUAUUAAAUGUAUUGUUACGUAAAAUUUGAGUAUGUAUAAAUUGGGAUUCAUUAUUAUUUGUAAUUGUAUAAACGGGUUCUAAUUUUUUUUUUAAAUAAAUUACAGAGUACCAUUUAUCAAAAUAUAUUUUUAAAAUUUCAAAAUUUUCAAAUGAUCUCAUCAUUGCAUUUUCUAAUUGCAAAUCACGUUGAUAAUUAAUAUUACAAAGCGAAAUUUUCAACAAUUUUUUAAGUCCUUCUCGUAAUACAAAUUUUUUAUACAAUAUUAAUGCUGUUUCUAUUUCAUUAUUCAUUUUUAUCUUUUGAACGAUAUAUUCUCUCCAAAUUAAAAAAUAUUUUUUCAAAAUCUUAUAUUCCAUCGUGGAGAUCACAAGAAUUUCUUUUUUACGUAUAUUUAAAAUAUCUUGUAAUUUGGAAUGCCAAUGUAAAAUAAAUUUUUUUAAUAAAAAACCAGUUGCAAUUUCA
This is an RNA transcript of Apis cerana (Asiatic honeybee), 3925 nucleotides long. It is a transcript of the gene named Nucleolar protein 14 homolog l(3)07882, with no coding region annotated. NCBI's taxonomy places the organism in Eukaryota, Metazoa, Arthropoda, Insecta, Hymenoptera, Apidae. The record is from RefSeq and is a predicted model, not a curated record.